AGUGAACGCUGGCGGUAGGCCUAACACAUGCAAGUCGAACGGCAGCACAGUAAGAGCUUGCUCUUACGGGUGGCGAGUGGCGGACGGGUGAGGAAUACAUCGGAAUCUACUUUUUCGUGGGGGAUAACGUAGGGAAACUUACGCUAAUACCGCAUACGACCUACGGGUGAAAGCAGGGGAUCUUCGGACCUUGCGCGAUUGAAUGAGCCGAUGUCGGAUUAGCUAGUUGGCGGGGUAAAGGCCCACCAAGGCGACGAUCCGUAGCUGGUCUGAGAGGAUGAUCGGCCACACUGUAACUGAGACACGGUCCAGACUCCUACGGGAGGCAGCAGUGUGGAAUAUUGGGCAAUGGGCGCAAGCCUGAUCCAGCCAUACCGCGUGGGUGAAGAAGGCCUUCGGGUUGUAAAGCCCUUUUGUUGGGAAAGAAAAGCAGCAGGUUAAUACCCCGCUGUUCUGACGGUACCCAAAGAAUAAGCACCGGCUAACUUCGUG
RNAcentral lists this ribosomal RNA (492 nucleotides) under uncultured bacterium. RNAcentral describes it as "partial 16S ribosomal RNA". It matches the Rfam family "Bacterial small subunit ribosomal RNA", at positions 29 to 507 of the family's 1533-position model. The record is from RNAcentral.